This 381-nucleotide unclassified non-coding RNA is filed under the name uncultured Pseudomonadota bacterium. RNAcentral's name for it is "uncultured proteobacterium contains 16S-23S intergenic spacer region". Lineage: Bacteria; Pseudomonadati; Pseudomonadota. The record is from RNAcentral.
UCCGGCUUAUCACCGGCAGUUUCAUCAGAGUGCCCAGCAUAACCUGGUAGCAACUGAUGAUGAGGGUUGCGCUCGUUGCGGGACUUAACCCAACAUCUCACGACACGAGCUGACGACAGCCAUGCAGCACCUGUGUUCCAGCCAGCCGAACUGAAGAACCCGAUCUCUCGGGCUCAUACUGGACAUGUCAAGGCCUGGUAAGGUUCUUCGCGUUGCGUCGAAUUGAACCACAUACUCCACCGCUUGUGCGGGUCCCCGUCAAUUCCUUUGAGUUUUAAUCUUGCGACCGUACUCCCCAGGCGGUCAACUUCACGCGUUAGCUGCGCUACCUAGGUCCGAAGACCCCAACAGCUAGUUGACAUCGUUUAGGGCGUGGACUAC